Molecule: ribosomal RNA, 92 nt
Filed under: Nicotiana attenuata
Lineage: Eukaryota; Viridiplantae; Streptophyta; Magnoliopsida; Solanales; Solanaceae
Source: RNAcentral
CCGGAUCCCAUCAAAACUCCGAAGUUAAGCGUGCUUGGGCGAGAGUAGUACUAGGAUGGGUGACCCCUUGGGAAAUCCUCGUGUUGCAUCCC